AAAGCUCAAAUUUAGAAAUCUGGCACCUUCGGUGUCCGAGUUGUAAUUUGAAGAUUGUAACCUUGGGGUUGGCUCUUGUCUAUGUUUCUUGGAACAGGACGUCACAGAGGGUGAGAAUCCCGUGCGAUGAGAUGCCCAAUCCUAUGUAAGGUGCUUUCGAAGAGUCGAGUUGUUUGGGAAUGCAGCUCUAAGUGGGUGGUAAAUUCCAUCUAAAGCUAAAUAUUGGCGAGAGACCGAUAGCGAACAAGUACAGUGAUGGAAAGAUGAAAAGAACUUUGAAAAGAGAGUGAAAAAGUACGUGAAAUUGUUGAAAGGGAAGGGUUUGAGAUCAGACUCGAUAUUUUGUGAGCCUUGCCUUCGUGGCGGGGUGACCCGCAGCUUAUCGGGCCAGCAUCGGUUUGGGCGGUAGGAUAAUGGCGUAGGAAUGUGACUUUGCUUCGGUGAAGUGUUAUAGCCUGCGUUGAUGCUGCCUGCCUAGACCGAGGACUGCGAUUUUAUCAAGGAUGCUGGCAUAAUGAUCCCAAACCGCCCGUCUUGAACACGGACCCA
This 549-nucleotide ribosomal RNA is filed under the name Meyerozyma guilliermondii. Its description in RNAcentral is "eukaryotic LSU rRNA". It matches the Rfam family "Eukaryotic large subunit ribosomal RNA", at positions 104 to 669 of the family's 3401-position model. Lineage: Eukaryota; Fungi; Ascomycota; Pichiomycetes; Serinales; Debaryomycetaceae. The record is from RNAcentral.